CGGGUGAGUAAUGCCUAGGGAACUGCCCAGUCGAGGGGGAUAACAGUUGGAAACGACUGCUAAUACCGCAUACGCCCUACGGGGGAAAAGAGGGGACCUUCGGGCCUUCUGCGAUUGGAUGUACCUAGGUGGGAUUAGCUAGUUGGUGAGGUAAUGGCUCACCAAGGCGACGAUCCCUAGCUGUUCUGAGAGGAUGAUCAGCCACACUGGGACUGAGACACGGCCCAGACUCCUACGGGAGGCAGCAGUGGGGAAUAUUGCACAAUGGGCGCAAGCCUGAUGCAGCCAUGCCGCGUGUGUGAAGAAGGCCUUCGGGUUGUAAAGCACUUUCAGCGAGGAGGAAAGCUUAAGCGUUAAUAGCGUUUAGGUGUGACGUUACUCGCAGAAGAAGGACCGGCUAACUUCGUGCCAGCAGCCGCGGUAAUACGAGGGGUCCAAGCGUUAAUCGGAAUUACUGGGCGUAAAGCGUACGCAGGCGGUUUGUUAAGCGAGAUGUGAAAGCCCCGGGCUCAACCUGGGAACUGCAUUUCGAACUGGCAGACUAGAGUCUUGUAGAGGGGGGUAGAAUUUCAGGUGUAGCGGUGAAAUGCGUAGAGAUCUGAAGGAAUACCGGUGGCGAAGGCGGCCCCCUGGACAAAGACUGACGCUCAUGUACGAAAGCGUGGGGGAGCAAACAGGAUUAGAUACCCUGGUAGUCCACGCCGUAAAACGAUGUCUACUCGG
Molecule: ribosomal RNA, 723 nt
Filed under: Shewanella colwelliana
Lineage: Bacteria; Pseudomonadati; Pseudomonadota; Gammaproteobacteria; Alteromonadales; Shewanellaceae
Description: bacterial SSU rRNA
Rfam family: Bacterial small subunit ribosomal RNA
Source: RNAcentral